GAUGAACGCUGGCGGCGUGCCUAAUACAUGCAAGUCGAGCGAACAGACGAGGAACUUGCUCCUCUGACGUUAGCGGCGGACGGGUGAGUAACACGUGGAUAACCUCCCUAUAAGACUGGGAUAACUUCGGGAAACCGGAGCUAAUACCGGAUAAUAUAUUGAACCGCAUGGUUCAAUAGUGAAAGACGGUUUUGCUGUCACUUAUAGAUGGAUCCGCGCCGCAUUAGCUAGUUGGUAAGGUAACGGCUUACCAAGGCAACGAUGCGUAGCCGACCUGAGAGGGUGAUCGGCCACACUGGAGCUGAGACACGGUCCAGACUCCUACGGGAGGCAGCAGUAGGGAAUCUUCCGCAAUAGGCGAAAGCCUGACGGAGCAACGCCGCGUGAGUGAUGAAGGUCUUCGGAUCGUAAAACUCUGUUAUUAGGGAAGAACAAAUGUGUAAGUAACUAUGCACGUCUUGACGGUACCUAAUCAGAAAGCCACGGCUAACUACGUG
RNAcentral lists this ribosomal RNA (497 nucleotides) under uncultured bacterium. Its description in RNAcentral is "partial 16S ribosomal RNA". It matches the Rfam family "Bacterial small subunit ribosomal RNA", at positions 28 to 507 of the family's 1533-position model. The record is from RNAcentral.